Molecule: ribosomal RNA, 411 nt
Filed under: [Candida] sp. EJ3M01
Lineage: Eukaryota; Fungi; Ascomycota; Saccharomycetes; Saccharomycetales
Description: eukaryotic LSU rRNA
Rfam family: Eukaryotic large subunit ribosomal RNA
Source: RNAcentral
GCGAGUGAAGCGGUAAAAGCUCAAAUUUGAAAUCUUCGGAAUUGUAAUUUGUCGGCUCUGGAAUUUUAUGGGAAGAAGUCUGCUGGAACGCAGCGCCAUGGAGGGUGAUAGCCCCGUUUCCUUUAAUUUUUAUUCUAGGGCCAAAGAGUCGGGUUGUUUGGGAAUGCAGCUCAAAGUGGGUGGUAAAUUCCAUCUAAGGCUAAAUAUUGGCGAGAGACCGAUAGCGAACAAGUACAGUGAUGGAAAGAUGAAAAGCACUUUGAAAAGAGAGUGAAAUAGUACGUGAAAUUGUUGAAAGGGAAGGGUGUGAGAUUGUGACUUGUGGGGUUGCCAACACAUGAAAAGGCGGAACCGUUUUCGGUUCUGUGAUAAUGUUUCGGCGACUCUCCAAGAGGCGGUCCCCCACCACCC